GAUGAACGCUGGCGGCGUGCUUAACACAUGCAAGUCGAACGGUGAAGCAGAGCUUGCUCUGUGGAUCAGUGGCGAACGGGUGAGUAACACGUGAGCAACCUGCCCCUGACUCUGGGAUAAGCGCUGGAAACGGCGUCUAAUACUGGAUAUGAGCUGCGACCGCAUGUUCAGCAGUUGGAAAGAUUUUUCGGUCUGGGAUGGGCUCACGGCCUAUCAGCUUGUUGGUGAGGUAAUGGCUCACCAAGGCGUCGACGGGUAGCCGGCCUGAGAGGGUGACCGGCCACACUGGGACUGAGACACGGCCCAGACUCCUACGGGAGGCAGCAGUGGGGAAUAUUGCACAAUGGGCGAAAGCCUGAUGCAGCAACGCCGCGUGAGGGAUGACGGCCUUCGGGUUGUAAACCUCUUUUAGCAGGGAAGAAGCGAAAGUGACGGUACCUGCAGAAAAAGCGCCGGCUAACUACGUG
Molecule: ribosomal RNA, 467 nt
Filed under: uncultured bacterium
Lineage: Bacteria
Description: partial 16S ribosomal RNA
Rfam family: Bacterial small subunit ribosomal RNA
Source: RNAcentral